Molecule: ribosomal RNA, 347 nt
Filed under: Bordetella sp.
Lineage: Bacteria; Pseudomonadati; Pseudomonadota; Betaproteobacteria; Burkholderiales; Alcaligenaceae
Description: partial 23S ribosomal RNA
Rfam family: Bacterial large subunit ribosomal RNA
Source: RNAcentral
CAAGGGUAUGGCUGUUCGCCAUUUAAAGUGGUACGUGAGCUGGGUUCAGAACGUCGUGAGACAGUUUGGUCCCUAUCUGCCGUGGGUGUUCGAAGCUUGAGAGGAUCUGUCCCUAGUACGAGAGGACCGGGAUGGACAUACCUCUGGUGGACCUGUCGUGGCGCCAGCCGCGCAGCAGGGUAGCUAAGUAUGGAAUAGAUAACCGCUGAAAGCAUCUAAGCGGGAAACUAACCUCAAAACAAGGCUUCGCUGAGGAUCGUGGAAGACUACCACGUUGAUAGGCCAGGUGUGGAAGCGCGGUGACGUGUGAAGCUUACUGGUACUAAUAAUCCGAUCGGCUUGAUCGU